This 69-nucleotide transfer RNA is filed under the name Pteropus alecto (black flying fox). It matches the Rfam family "tRNA". Rfam says of the family: Transfer RNA (tRNA) molecules are approximately 80 nucleotides in length. Their secondary structure includes four short double-helical elements and three loops (D, anti-codon, and T loops). Further hydrogen bonds mediate the characteristic L-shaped molecular structure. tRNAs have two regions of fundamental functional importance: the anti-codon, which is responsible for specific mRNA codon recognition, and the 3' end, to which the tRNAs corresponding amino acid is attached (by aminoacyl-tRNA synthetases). tRNAs cope with the degeneracy of the genetic code in two manners: having more than one tRNA (with a specific anti-codon) for a particular amino acid; and 'wobble' base-pairing, i.e. permitting non-standard base-pairing at the 3rd anti-codon position. The record is from Rfam by way of RNAcentral. Lineage: Eukaryota; Metazoa; Chordata; Mammalia; Chiroptera; Pteropodidae.
GGCUCCAUAGUGGUUAGCACAUCUGCUUCUCAUGCAGAAGGUCUUGGGUUCGUGUCCCAGGUGGAGCCA